RNAcentral lists this ribosomal RNA (490 nucleotides) under uncultured bacterium. Its description in RNAcentral is "partial 16S ribosomal RNA". It matches the Rfam family "Bacterial small subunit ribosomal RNA", at positions 30 to 507 of the family's 1533-position model. The record is from RNAcentral.
AUUGAACGCUGGCGGCAGGCCUAACACAUGCAAGUCGAACGGUAACAGGAAGAAGCUUGCUUCUUUGCUGACGCGUGGCGGACGGGUGAGUAAUGUCUGGGAAACUGCUUGAUGGAGGGGGAUAACUACUGGAAACGGUAGCUAAUACCGCAUAACGUCGCAAGACCAAAGAGGGGGACCUUAGGGCCUCUUGCCAUCGGCUGUGCCCAGAUGGGAUUAGCUAGUAGGUGGGGUAACGGCUCACCUAGGCGACGAUCCCUAGCUGGUCUGAGAGGAUGACCGGCCACACUGGAACUGAGACACGGUCCAGACUCCUACGGGAGGCAGCAGUGGGGAAUAUUGCACAAUGGGCGCAAGCCUGAUGCAGCCAUGCCGCGUGUAUGAAGAAGGCCUUCGGGUUGUAAAGUACUUUCAGCGGGGAGGAAGGGAGUAAAGUUAAUACCUUUGCGCAUUGACGUUACCCGCAGAAAAAGCACCGGCUAACUCCGUG